RNAcentral lists this small RNA (1026 nucleotides) under Rattus norvegicus (Norway rat). RNAcentral's name for it is "uncharacterized LOC102552661". Lineage: Eukaryota; Metazoa; Chordata; Mammalia; Rodentia; Muridae. The record is from RNAcentral.
CAGAAUACCAACAUCUAUGUUCCAGUGGCUCUCUGCUUCAGAGAGGUUCCCUUUGCCUUUUCUUUUACUCGGAACUCCUCCACUUUAUUUCCACCUCCACCCGAGGAAAUAGUGUGCUUCAUUCACACAGACAGUCUGGAACUCUUGCCAAUUUGGGCUUUUUAGGCCAAAAAAUGAUGUAAACAGAGAGCAUGACUACUUGCUUAAAAAUGGAGUCUUUGCAGACCGCUCAAUUCCUGUACCUAUUGCUCAGGAAACAUUAUAGAAGAGGAGUGUUAAGUCUGUAAGAAGCUCAGGAUCAUACAGCUUUUGUAGAAUUGCGUCUCCCAGCAAUGUCAGAAGCUACGCCAAAAAGUCUCACCAACAUAACUGGCUAAACCUGAGCCGAACGAAGCCAAUACCAAACAUGACAAAGUGGAGGUAUGUGGUUCCCAUCUGUAAUGCCUACACCGAGUAAAUGAGGCAGGAGGAAGUGCGAACUGGACAUUUGAGCUAUAUGGGUUCUAAGGAUUCAGAGUGAGUCCCCGUUGUAAGAAAACCAAAACUCAGUAAAAAAUGGAAAGACCUAUGAGAUCUGAGAUAUGACAGAGCCAAGAGCUAUUCAACUGCAGGGAAUUUAUUUCUUCACCCCAAUUAGUUUGCUAUUGUGUUCUGAUAGCAGCAGAUAUUCCUAAAUGAGUUUUGGUUGGACUAAUUACCUCCCUACUUCAAGAUCUUAUUGUGGAGUUCUGAGAGCCUUUGUCCAUCAGCUUAAAUGAAAAAUAAAUAAAUAAAUAAACAAACAAAUAGAUAAAUCUCUUUUAAUUAUCGUGCUAAAAAAGUAAGAAAUAAUCAUUAGAGAAUAGUUAAACAUUUUUUCCUUCUCCAUUCCACUCUCUCUUCCGUUUUUCACCCCUUAAGUUAAUCAAAACUUGUAUGGAAUUCAUUCCGAAUAUAUUAAGAAUAAACUUAGUUUUCUUAGUCAGAAUCCUGGCAGAACAUUAUGGUCAUCCUUACAGGGCAUUUUUCUCCCCGAGUUUCAGAAUA